AGCAGUAGCCGCGGGAAUACGUGGGUGGCAAGCGUUGUCCGGAAUUAUUGGGCGUAAAGCGCGCGCAGGCGGAUAGGUCAGUCUGUCUUAAAAGUUCGGGGCUUAACCCCGUGAUGGGAUGGAAACUGCCAAUCUAGAGUAUCGGAGAGGAAAGUGGAAUUCCUAGUGUAGCGGUGAAAUGCGUAGAUAUUAGGAAGAACACCAGUGGCAAAGGCGACUUUCUGGACGAAAACUGACGCUGAGGCGCGAAAGCCAGGGGAGCGAACGGGAUUAGAUACCCCUGUAGUCCCUGUCUCUUAUACA
Molecule: ribosomal RNA, 303 nt
Filed under: uncultured bacterium
Lineage: Bacteria
Description: partial 16S ribosomal RNA
Rfam family: Bacterial small subunit ribosomal RNA
Source: RNAcentral